AGACGGUUAGUCUAAGAAAGAUACUUGAUUUCGGCUCAAACGUUUAUGGUUAAAGUCCAUAACCGUCUU
This 69-nucleotide transfer RNA is filed under the name Brachaluteres ulvarum (Japanese inflator filefish). RNAcentral describes it as "tRNA-Arg". It matches the Rfam family "tRNA". Rfam says of the family: Transfer RNA (tRNA) molecules are approximately 80 nucleotides in length. The record is from RNAcentral. Lineage: Eukaryota; Metazoa; Chordata; Actinopteri; Tetraodontiformes; Monacanthidae.